Molecule: unclassified non-coding RNA, 254 nt
Filed under: uncultured Acidimicrobiia bacterium
Lineage: Bacteria; Bacillati; Actinomycetota; Acidimicrobiia
Description: contains 16S-23S intergenic spacer region
Rfam family: Bacterial small subunit ribosomal RNA
Source: RNAcentral
UACGUAGGUGGCAAGCGUUGUCCGGAUUCAUUGGGCGUAAAGAGCUCGUAGGCGGCUCAGUAAGUCGGGUGUGAAACCUCCAGGCUCAACCUGGAGACGCCACUCGAUACUGCUGUGGCUAGAGUCCAGUAGGGGAGCGUGGAAUUCCUGGUGUAGCGGUGAAAUGCGCAGAUAUCAGGAGGAACACCAGCGGCGAAGGCGGCGCUCUGGGCUGGAACUGACGCUGAGGUGCGAAAGCGUGGGGAGCAAACAGG